RNAcentral lists this long non-coding RNA (213 nucleotides) under Homo sapiens (human). RNAcentral's name for it is "non-protein coding lnc-ZNF467-3:1". Lineage: Eukaryota; Metazoa; Chordata; Mammalia; Primates; Hominidae. The record is from RNAcentral.
GAAGCUCCUUGUAGGCCUGAGGAGUCUCAGGACUUGGCAUUGCCCUGGCUCCUGUGGCACGAAGACCUCAGGUCCUGUGGAAGUUGAGCAGCAAUGUGUGAUUUGAGGGGAGCUGACUUGUUUUUUUUUUGGUUUCCCCAGACCUUAUCCAUUCACCGUGUGUUCAAAAAUAGUAAAAUUAGCAUAUGGUAAACCAUACUUAAAAAUUGUAAA